AUACGGAGGAUCCGAGCGUUAUCCGGAUUUAUUGGGUUUAAAGGGUGCGCAGGCGGGAGAUUAAGUCGGCGGUGAAAUUUUGCAGCUCAACUGUAAAAGUGCCUUCGAAACUGGUUUCCUUGAGUGUAGAUGAAGUAGGCGGAAUUUGUGGUGUAGCGGUGAAAUGCAUAGAUAUCACGAGGAACUCCGAUUGCGCAGGCAGCUUACUAAACUACUACUGACGCUCAGGCACGAAGGUGUGGGGAUCAAACAGGAUUAGAUACCCUGGUAGUCCACGCAGUAAACGAUGAUUACUAGCUGUUUGCGAUACAAUGUAAGCGGCUGAGCGAAAGCGUUAAGUAAUCCACCUGGGGAGUACGUUCGCAAGAAUGAAACUCAAAUGAAUUGGCGGGG
Molecule: ribosomal RNA, 393 nt
Filed under: uncultured bacterium
Lineage: Bacteria
Description: partial 16S ribosomal RNA
Rfam family: Bacterial small subunit ribosomal RNA
Source: RNAcentral